RNAcentral lists this ribosomal RNA (253 nucleotides) under uncultured bacterium. RNAcentral describes it as "partial 16S ribosomal RNA". It matches the Rfam family "Bacterial small subunit ribosomal RNA", at positions 524 to 776 of the family's 1533-position model. The record is from RNAcentral.
UACGUAGGGGGCAAGCGUUGUCCGGAAUCAUUGGGCGUAAAGCGCGUGUAGGCGGCUCGGUAAGUCUGCUGUGAAAGUCCAGGGCUCAACCCUGGGAUGCCGGUGGAUACUGUCGAGCUCGAGUCCGGAAGAGGCGAGUGGAAUUCCUGGUGUAGCGGUGAAAUGCGCAGAUAUCGGGAGGAACACCAAUGGCGAAGGCAGCUCGCUGGGACGUGACUGACGCUGAGACGCGAAAGCGUGGGGAGCAAACAGG